GAUGAACGCUGGCGGCGUGCCAAAUACAUGCAAGUCGAGCGAACGGACGAGAAGCUUGCUUCUCUGAUGUUAGCGGCGGACGGGUGAGUAACACGUGGAUAACCUACCUAUAAGACUGGGAUAACUUCGGGAAACCGGAGCUAAUACCGGAUAAUAUUUUGAACCGCAUGGUUCAAAAGUGAAAGACGGUCUUGCUGUCACUUAUAGAUGGAUCCGCGCUGCAUUAGCUAGUUGGUAAGGUAACGGCUUACCAAGGCAACGAUGCAUAGCCGACCUGAGAGGGUGAUCGGCCACACUGGAACUGAGACACGGUCCAGACUCCUACGGGAGGCAGCAGUAGGGAAUCUUCCGCAAAGGGCGAAAGCCUGACGGAGCAACGCCGCGUGAGUGAUGAAGGUCUUCGGAUCGUAAAACUCUGUUAUUAGGGAAGAACAUAUGUGUAAGUAACUGUGCACAUCUUGACGGUACCUAAUCAGAAAGCCACGGCUAACUACGUG
RNAcentral lists this ribosomal RNA (497 nucleotides) under uncultured bacterium. RNAcentral describes it as "partial 16S ribosomal RNA". It matches the Rfam family "Bacterial small subunit ribosomal RNA", at positions 28 to 507 of the family's 1533-position model. The record is from RNAcentral.